GCGCCCGUAGCUCAGUUGGUAGAGCAGUUGCCUCUUAAGCAAACGGUCCCUGGUUCGAAUCCAGGCGGGCGCA
RNAcentral lists this transfer RNA (73 nucleotides) under Candidatus Yanofskybacteria bacterium RIFCSPLOWO2_01_FULL_49_17. RNAcentral describes it as "tRNA-Lys". It matches the Rfam family "tRNA". Rfam says of the family: Transfer RNA (tRNA) molecules are approximately 80 nucleotides in length. Their secondary structure includes four short double-helical elements and three loops (D, anti-codon, and T loops). Further hydrogen bonds mediate the characteristic L-shaped molecular structure. tRNAs have two regions of fundamental functional importance: the anti-codon, which is responsible for specific mRNA codon recognition, and the 3' end, to which the tRNAs corresponding amino acid is attached (by aminoacyl-tRNA synthetases). tRNAs cope with the degeneracy of the genetic code in two manners: having more than one tRNA (with a specific anti-codon) for a particular amino acid; and 'wobble' base-pairing, i.e. permitting non-standard base-pairing at the 3rd anti-codon position. The record is from RNAcentral. Lineage: Bacteria; Candidatus Yanofskyibacteriota.